CUGGUGUCAGCCGCCGCGUUAAUACCAGCACCUCGAGUGGUCAGGACGUUUAUUGGGCCUAAAGCAUCCGUAGCCGGCUCUGCAAGUCUUCGGUUAAAUCCACCUGCUCAACAGAUGGGCUGCUGGAGAUACUACAGAGCUAGGGAGUGGGAGAGGCAGACGGUAUUCAGUGGGUAGGGGUAAAAUCCUCUGAUCCAUUGAGGACCACCAGUGGCGAAGGCGGUCUGCCAGAACACGUUCGACGGUGAGGGAUGAAAGCUGGGGGAGCAAACCGGAUUAGAUACCCGGGUAGUCCCAGCUGUAAACGAUGCAAACUCGGUGAUGCAUUGGCUUAUGGCCAAUGCAGUGCCGCAGGGAAGCCGUUAAGUUUGCCGCCUGGGAAGUACGGACGCAAGUCUGAAACUUAAAGGAAUUGGCGGGGGAGCACCACAAGGGGUGAAGCCUGCGGUUCAAUUGGAGUCAACGCCAGGAAUCUUACCCGGGGAGACAGCAGAAUGAAGGUCAAGCUGAAGACUUUACCAGACAAGCU
Molecule: ribosomal RNA, 529 nt
Filed under: uncultured Nitrososphaerota archaeon
Lineage: Archaea; Thermoproteati; Nitrososphaerota
Description: bacterial SSU rRNA
Rfam family: Archaeal small subunit ribosomal RNA
Source: RNAcentral